Long non-coding RNA from Peromyscus leucopus (white-footed mouse), 1095 nucleotides. RefSeq lists it as uncharacterized. The record is from RefSeq and is a predicted model, not a curated record. The transcript is spliced from 3 exons. Lineage: Eukaryota; Metazoa; Chordata; Mammalia; Rodentia; Cricetidae.
GGAAAUGUGAACUGCUGCCUGAUGUAUCUUAAUGAAGCCUUUGACAAAAGUUUCUUCAUCUUUGCAGGAAAGGUUUUGUCCUGCCUUGCUUUUCUAUUGCUGUGACAAAACACAGAUCAAAACCGACUCAGGGGUAUAGCUUCCGUGUCCUUUUUGGAGACAUCCUCCCUGUGGCUAUGAGGAUCAAUAUGGAACACACCAACAAACUGCCACCUCUGCUUCCCAGGAUCAAGAGGGGAAAGACCAGAGUUGCAACAUGUCAGUCUCUAGUUCCUCUAAGUGAAGGAGCACAGCACAUUUCACUCUUCCUUGGACAUGAAUCUGUUCCUGACUGUUGUGGUACCGUAUAUAGGAUAAUAGUGGAGGUCCAUUCAUCCUCAUGUGGAGUCUCACUGGAAGACAGUUUCCAAUGCCUGGUGUCAGUGAUCCACUGAGCCUCCCUUUGCUCCUCUGCCUCUCAGCCUUCAUCAACAGCUCUCUAAGAUUGGUGCUAAUAGGAUUUUCUCACUGCAUGGGGUUGGGAGCUGUCUGUCCAAUUUUGAAGUUUUAUCCCAGUGAUUUUACAACUGGGUGAGGGCUCCUGCCUACUUGGCACCUUUCACUUUUUUUUUUUGUUUUGCUUUAUAAGAGAUUCCAGAAAAUGGCAAAGAUACAAACUAUGGACAGAGGUGCACCGAUCUUCAGGAUGAGGUCUGUGUAUACAGACAUGUGCCCUAUACUUGAACCUACCUAUCUUCCCUGUUUGUGAGUAACUAUCACAGCCUGUUCUUAAGUAGUUCAAUGUUAGAAAUAUAGGGACAGGGCACAUUCCAGGAGAAACCAUGGUAGUAGAUCAGUCAUUUUAUUAACAAUUAUAUACACAAUGUUAGGGCAAAACAUGUACAGUAAGACUGAUCACUGCAAGGCUUUACAUCUGCAUUGUAAGAGAUCCAUAGAAAUCAGGUUAUAAUUCUGGCUUCUUGUAGAUAGGCUCCUGUGAGGGUUUAAGGAAACCUAGGAACCCAUGUCUAGUCUUUGAACAUGCCAACAAACAUACCUCCAGAGGAGGAAGUCCUGGGGUUUCUAUUACACAUUUUUAUUAAAGUUGUGUCUGUA